Molecule: ribosomal RNA, 504 nt
Filed under: uncultured bacterium
Lineage: Bacteria
Description: bacterial SSU rRNA
Rfam family: Bacterial small subunit ribosomal RNA
Source: RNAcentral
GACGAGUUUGAUCAUGGCUCAGGACGAACGCUGGCGGCGUGCCUAACACAUGCAAGUCGAGCGGAGUUGACAAGAGGAAGUUUUCGGAUGGAAUCUUGUCAAUUUAGCGGCGGACGGGUGAGUAACGCGUGAGCGACCAACUUUGCACAGGGGGAUACCGGACCGAAAGGUUCACUAAUACCGCAUGAGACCACGGUGUUGCAUGACACAGGGGUCAAAGGAGGAAUCCGGUGCAAGACGGGCUCGCGUCCGAUUAGGUAGUCGGAGGGGUAACGGCCCACCAAGCCUAUGAUCGGUAGCCGACCUGAGAGGGUGAUCGGCCACAUUGGAACUGAGAUACGGUCCAAACUCCUACGGGAGGCAGCAGUGGGGAAUAUUGGGCAAUGGGGGAAACCCUGACCCAGCAACGCCGCGUGAAGGAAGAAGGUUUUCGGAUUGUAAACUUCUGUCCUUGGUGAAGAGAAGAAGACGGUAGCCAAGGAGGAAGCCCCGGCUAACUACGUG